CCUCCUGCUUGUUAUGUUCGCAGCCUGGUGCCUUCUGCUUUGUUCUAAUGAUCUGUAACUAAAUCUAGUAAAGGAAAAAAGGUUCUUUAAAGGUUUUAAAUGUGAUAUUUUACAUAUAGCUUGUUAUAAAGCUUAAUCGUGUUUACUGACCCCAGACAUCACACUCCUCCUGGACGGUCGGGGGUUUUUUUUUGUUGUUGAUGUUGAUUUUUUUUUCUCACCUUGCUGUAACCCUAAGACACAUUAUCAAAACAAUUCGGUUGGGAAUUUCCGUGUUGGUGGAAUGAAACAUGAUAAAAAAAAUUUUGAAGACGCCUUCGGAAGAAACUUUUUGUUUUGCUCUUUUCUUUUAGUCGACCUUCUUUGUCAAAGCAAGAUCACGGAAAAGGGAGGGGAAUGAAUAGAGGCUGCACCAGACACUAAAACAUCCUUUCCCUAAAUUCCACUUCAUCCUUGCCACUUUUUUUUAGCCGGGUGUUUUUUUUUUUUUUUUUUUUUGAAUCCUGGUCCUGAGUUUUCUCCUGUGCCUUUUUCCCGCUCUAACAUACCUGAUCCACCGUAUUAAGCCUACCAAACCGGAUCAUUCGGGUUUGCGCGUCACAUCAUGGCGGUGUAUUUCAUUUGGGGAAAUUUUUUUAUUUAUUUAUAUAUUAGGCUAACACGCCUCCAAAAACUUCCGGACGUUCUUAUUAAGGAAAUAUAGUCUAUAUGCUGUGUCUAUAGGGUUUUCGGGUUUUUUUUUUUUUUUUUUUUUUUUUUUUUAAGCAGGGGGUGUGUCUACUUCUUCUUCUUCUUUUUUUUGGCUUCUUUUUCUUCUUCCUCCUCUUGUUCAGUUAAAUUAGCGGUUCGGCUCAGGAGGUGUGUUCUUUUUUUUCCGUUUAGAAACCCUAUCCAUUGUUCCACUCUUACGGCGUAGUAAAACACGCCCCCAUCCGAACCGCCAGCCAAUCAUGUCCAAGUGUCCGUCCCUUCUUCUCUAGCUCCGCCCACAAACCUAUAUUAAAGCCUCCUACAUCGCAUGCCGACGGCAUUAGCUUAGAAGAGCUAUAAAGUAAACAGCUUAAUAUUGAUUAGAGAAGAAUCAACGCGAAGCGGAUUUACUUAAAUAUUUUCUUACGUUUUUUUUUGGCAUUAUUUAUAUUAUUUAGUCAAUAUAAAAAAUUUAAAAAAGACAACCAUGGCAGACACCAAGGUAGAUUCCGCGACGGAAAUUUCCGCCAAGGACUUGAAGGAGAAGAAGCUCCUUGAGGAGAAGGAAAAUGGAAAGGAGGCCACUAAUGGAAAGGAAAAUGAGGAGAACGGAGAGCCUGAGAUUGAUGAGGAAGAGGAGGAUGAAGUAGACGAAGAAGACGAGGAGGAAGAUGGAGAGGGAGAUGAAGAUGAGGAGGAGGACGAGGAGGACGACCUGGGCGGAGGAACGAAACGAGGGGCUGAUGAGGAUGACGAGGACGAUGAGGACGAGGUCGACCCGAAGAAACAGAAGACGGACGACGAUGAUUAAAAGGAUUGUUGGAUGCUACUGAUCCGGUGUAGAGCUCAUCUUCAGCACAUUUGUUGGAGCCAGUGGCAUAAAGGACUCAAACAUCAAACAUGGUCAUUUUUUCCCCCCCAAGUUCCUGCGUCUCACCCACUAACCCCCAAUGCAAAAUUUUCUAGAGGGAAAAGUCCACCACCCAGAUCCCCAACACGACGACAAAGUUCACAAGACGAGGAUUUGUUUGUAUUUUUAUUUACAUUUUAUAUUUUUGUACAUAUUGUUAAGGGAUCAGUCACUUGAUCGUGAUCUCCUGUGACCAAAACGGUGCUUCUUUAUGAAAUUUUACUUGUUUGACCAUGUCUCGCAAACUUUGGAAACAGAAACAUUUAUAAAAAAUAAUAAAAAAAAUUCAGCCAUUUAACUCUGAGCAUUCCAGUCAGAUUUUAUGUAUGAACUUUAGUUGUACCAUAAACUAGUUUUGUUUCGUUUUUGUUUUGUUUGUAUGGGAGGGCUAGGCCAAAGAAAAGGAGUUACUUUUCUUAUUGUUUUUCGUUUGCAUUUGUUUUACCUUGGCCUGUCUGUGUGUGUGAAGUUUGUUCAACAAUAAACCUGACUUUUAUUUUGUGAGUUGUACUUGACCUCUCUGUUUCCUUUGGUACAUCUCUGCUACCAGAAGCUUGAGUUCAAUUCACAGGACUGCUCGAGCAUCGCUUAAGAUCUUCACUAAAGCUAGUUUAGAAAGCCUGCAAUGUUGAUCUUAAUGUCAUCUGCUGUGCCUUAAAUUAUUAGUACUCAAUACAAGCAUGUAUGGGGAUGCUUAUUAUUGGGUUAAAAUAUGGAUAUAAUGUCUCUGGGUCAUGACCUCUACUGUAAAAUGUAAAAAGUUAAGGAAAAAAGGAUAUGGUGUACGGAGAUCUUUUGUGAGGAGUUUUGUGUUGGAAAUUAGAGCAUCGCACACAUGUUUGUGUUUGGGGAUGUAUUAAAUAUUUGAAUUUUGUUAAAGAUCAGUGCCCAAUAAAAUAAAGUACAUCAUAGCAGUUUUAAGAACAAGGAUGGCCUGUCGUUGACAAGUCCGAGAAUGACAUGGAAGACAGCAUGAUGAAGAAUUUAUUCUCUAGUCAAGGAAACUGUUUGGAUGAUGGCGCUGCACUGGGUUCCAUUAUCGGUUUGCGUUAAAUGCAUCAACCAUGAAGCACCUUGUGCAAUGUCUGAACUUACACUAGUGCCCACAUGUCAGCUCUGCUUAUUAAAAAGAAACAACUGUAACUUGAUCACCAUUCGUCCUCGUUAACAAUUGAUCAACUUCUCAAUGUCUGGUGAAGUUGACCAAAGUGCAGUGAAGCCUGUAUCAUGCGAAAGGUAAAGUGGAAAUCUGCUCUGAAUAUUUGAGAUUCAUCUUUAUAAUUAACAUGAUCUUGAACUUGAUUCAAGAUAGACUUUGUAAUGAAAUGUUUUUAUACAUCAAUUUUUAAUCGUUAUAACGCCGUUCGCCUACCUACUUAUAGCGUUGCACUGGGAUUUAGCUGUUGCAUCAUCAUCUCUACAUAAAGAGAGUGAUGCAGCGGCGCUUUAGUCCGUCCAGAUCUGUGCACUCUGCUCGAACAGAUCAGCUUCCAAAGUUUCAACCGUCAUAUUAAUACCGCCAUUAACACAUCACAUGGUGUAAAUGAGAUCACUGAAGUUUUUUUUAUUAACAUUACCGUUAAACACCACUGUAACUAGCAAAAGCAGCGUCCCACUGUGACAUCAGUGCGGCACACAACGCCUAACUUUUCACCAGAAUAAUGAAAAUACAGCAACAAUUAAGAAAUCAGCACCAGAAUCACUAAUUCAUUUUCUUUCAAGCACCAGACGCUUAACCUUAAAGCCCCACGUGUUAAAGAGUUCGCCUCCCUGUUUUGAUUGGCAGUCUGAAGCUGCCUGAGAGCUGGAUUUCACCGCAAUGACACUGCUUUAGUGAAGGGUGUGUGCUCCUGCUGUGCAUAGGAUGCACUCAGAAAAGCUGUCUAAACUAAAACGAGCUCUGUGGAGUGUGCGUGUGUGUGUGUGCGUGUGUGUAUUGACUGUCUGACCCGGGACUCUGAUGUCAUGUCUACAGGGGUGUGUGUGUCAGGCAUAAGAAUUAAGAGCUAGCUGUGUUGACUAGAAUAACUAGUAUGUGUUUGAGUGUCUGGAGCUGGUUGAGUGAUAUGAUAUACCACAUAUAUAGUAUGGCUGGUUGGACUCAUUUUUGUGAUUUGAGCAUGACCGUAGACCCAUAAAAACUCCAAAGCAGCAUAAGCAGCAUACUAAUUAGCCCUAUAAACACUCCACAGUGUUCUACACUAGCAUUGCGAAUCUCACGGCCACACAACUGCAUGCUGUGUGAUUUCUGUUAUCAUGUCAUCUGUCAUCUGCUUACUCUUUCAAUUUAACCAAAUCCUAGGUCCCCAAGACCACACACAUACACACACACAUGCACAAGUCUCUGUCAUGCACUUUUGUCUAGCUUUUAAAAAGAAGGAAAAAGUUAAUGCAAGAACUGAAAUGUUAGUAUGUAAAGGUUCAGAACUGAAGUGUUCUUUUUGUUGCACAAACUAAGAUACUAAGAACUAGCAUAGUCAUCAAUUAUUAUUUGUCCAUAAAGAAACUAAACAGUAACUAAA
This is a long non-coding RNA of Ictalurus punctatus (channel catfish), 4122 nucleotides long. Lineage: Eukaryota; Metazoa; Chordata; Actinopteri; Siluriformes; Ictaluridae. The record is from Ensembl.